AUUGAACGCUGGCGGCAGGCUUAACACAUGCAAGUCGAGCGGGGGAAGGUAGCUUGCUACCGGACCUAGCGGCGGACGGGUGAGUAAUGCUUAGGAAUCUGCCUAUUAGUGGGGGACAACAUCUCGAAAGGGAUGCUAAUACCGCAUACGUCCUACGGGAGAAAGCAGGGGAUCUUCGGACCUUGCGCUAAUAGAUGAGCCUAAGUCGGAUUAGCUAGUUGGUGGGGUAAAGGCCUACCAAGGCGACGAUCUGUAGCGGGUCUGAGAGGAUGAUCCGCCACACUGGGACUGAGACACGGCCCAGACUCCUACGGGAGGCAGCAGUGGGGAAUAUUGGACAAUGGGGGGAACCCUGAUCCAGCCAUGCCGCGUGUGUGAAGAAGGCCCUAUGGUUGUAAAGCACUUUAAGCGAGGAGGAGGCUACUUUAGUUAAUACCUAGAGAUAGUGGACGUUACUCGCAGAAUAAGCACCGGCUAACUCUGUGCCAGCAGCCGCGGUAAUACAGAGGGUGCGAGCGUUAAUCGGAUUUACUGGGCGUAAAGCGUGCGUAGGCGGCUUAUUAAGUCGGAUGUGAAAUCCCCGAGCUUAACUUGGGAAUUGCAUU
RNAcentral lists this ribosomal RNA (605 nucleotides) under Acinetobacter baumannii OIFC083. RNAcentral's name for it is "bacterial SSU rRNA". It matches the Rfam family "Bacterial small subunit ribosomal RNA", at positions 28 to 627 of the family's 1533-position model. The record is from RNAcentral. Lineage: Bacteria; Pseudomonadati; Pseudomonadota; Gammaproteobacteria; Moraxellales; Moraxellaceae.